AAGUGGUGAUGCCAAGAAGCGUGUCAGGAUGCGGGACUUGGAGGAGCUUUAUGUAGGGUUUUGCUAUGGAAACCUCAACCUGACUUAUGUACGUUCGUGUGCAGACAUAAAAAUAGCAAAAU
This 122-nucleotide non-coding RNA is filed under the name unclassified sequences. The record is from Rfam.